This 256-nucleotide long non-coding RNA is filed under the name Elaeis guineensis (African oil palm). RNAcentral describes it as "long non-coding RNA (EGUI_LNC019184)". Lineage: Eukaryota; Viridiplantae; Streptophyta; Magnoliopsida; Arecales; Arecaceae. The record is from RNAcentral.
GAGCGGAGUUGAAAUUGAUCUUAUAAGUUUACUAUCCAAUGACACUCAUAACACAAUGAUUUUUGGAGUGGUCAUUAAUAUAUGACAAUUAUAUUGCAGAAAAUUGCCAAGAUGUGCUUCAUGUGUAUAUGGAAGCUAGUCGUGGGAUAUAAUUAGAAGUGAAACAUCUAUUUUCUACUAAUCUUCCAAAUUUCUUGAGUUAGAAAGGUUGUGUAGGUUUGAUGCAAAAGAUUUUUUAUGGAGGUGGAAAGAGAGG